GUCUACAGCCAUACCACCCUGAACAUGCCAAUCUCAUCUGACCUUGGAAGCUAAGCAGGGUUGAACUUGAUUAGUAUUUGGAUGGAAGAACACAAACGUAUGGUAACAGGUAUUCAUUGCAGCAU
This 125-nucleotide ribosomal RNA is filed under the name Jaculus jaculus (lesser Egyptian jerboa). Lineage: Eukaryota; Metazoa; Chordata; Mammalia; Rodentia; Dipodidae. The record is from RNAcentral.